This 492-nucleotide ribosomal RNA is filed under the name uncultured bacterium. RNAcentral's name for it is "partial 16S ribosomal RNA". It matches the Rfam family "Bacterial small subunit ribosomal RNA", at positions 29 to 507 of the family's 1533-position model. The record is from RNAcentral.
AGUGAACGCUGGCGGUAGGCCUAACACAUGCAAGUCGAACGGCAGCACAGUAAGAGCUUGCUCUUACGGGUGGCGAGUGGAGGACGGGUGAGGAAUACAUCGGAAUCUAAUUUUUCGUGGGGGAUAACGUAGGGAAACUUACGCUAAUACCGCAUACGACCUACGGGUGAAAGCAGGGGAUCUUCGGACCUUGCGCGAUUGAAUGAGCCGAUGUCGGAUUAGCUAGUUGGCGGGGUAAAGGCCCACAAAGCCGCCGAUCCGUAGCUGGUCUGGGAGGAUGAUCAGCCACACUGGAACUGAGACACAGUCCAGACUCCUACGGGAGGCAGCAGUGGGGAAUAUUGGACAAUGGGCGCAAGCCUGAUCCAGCCAUACCGCGUGGGUGAAGAAGGCCUUCUGGUUGUAAAGCCCUUUUGUUGGGAAAGAAACGCAGCAGGUUAAUACCCCGCUGUUCUGACGGUACCCAAAGAAUAAGCACCGGCUAACUUCGUG